GGGGCUGUGGCUCAGUGGAAGAGCCUUUGCUUUGCAUGCAGAAGGUCCCCAGUUCGAUAGUAUGUGAUUGUGACUAGUCCAA
RNAcentral lists this transfer RNA (82 nucleotides) under Sphaerodactylus townsendi. Its description in RNAcentral is "tRNA-Ala". Lineage: Eukaryota; Metazoa; Chordata; Lepidosauria; Squamata; Sphaerodactylidae. The record is from RNAcentral.